Molecule: ribosomal RNA, 430 nt
Filed under: Favorinus sp. 2 NPW-2013
Lineage: Eukaryota; Metazoa; Mollusca; Gastropoda; Nudibranchia; Facelinidae
Description: partial 16S ribosomal RNA
Rfam family: Archaeal large subunit ribosomal RNA
Source: RNAcentral
AGCCAGUAGAUGUUAUUUCUGGUUAAACCUGCCCAAUGUGUAAAUGAAUGGCCGCGGUACUCUGACCGUGCUAAGGUAGCGUAAUCAGUUGGCUUUUAAAUGGAGUCAGGUAUGAAUGGGAAAACCUGGUUUAGCUGUCUCAGAAGUAUUUAAUUGAAUUUACUGUUCAAGUGAAAAAGCUUGAGUAAUAAAAAAAGACGAGAAGACCCUUAGAAUUUUUUUUAAAAAGUAUUAUCUUUCUGAUUUUGUUGGGGCGACACAGGGGAAGAUUUCAACCCCCUAUUUAAACAAGUCGAUACUUAUAAUUUAGGAUAAAUUACCUGAGGGAUAACAGCAUAAUUCUAAAACUGAGUUUGUGACCUCGAUGUUGGACUAGGAAACUAGCAGGCCAGCCGUUUGCUGUGUGGGUUCUGUUCGAACUUUAAUUCCU